GACGAACGCUGGCGGCGUGCCUAAUACAUGCAAGUAGAACGCUGAAGGAGGAGCUUGCUUCUCCGGAUGAGUUGCGAACGGGUGAGUAACGCGUAGGUAACCUGCCUGGUAGCGGGGGAUAACUAUUGGAAACGAUAGCUAAUACCGCAUAAGAGUAGAUGUCGCAUGACAUUUGCUUAAAAGGUGCAACUGCACCACUACCAGAUGGACCUGCGUUGUAUUAGCUAGUUGGUGAGGUAACGGCUCACCAAGGCAACGAUACAUAGCCGACCUGAGAGGGUGAUCGGCCACACUGGGACUGAGACACGGCCCAGACUCCUACGGGAGGCAGCAGUAGGGAAUCUUCGGCAAUGGACGGAAGUCUGACCGAGCAACGCCGCGUGAGUGAAGAAGGUUUUCGGAUCGUAAAGCUCUGUUGUAAGAGAAGAACGAGUGUGAGAGUGCAAAGUUCACACUGUGACGGUAUCUUACCAGAAAGGGACGGCUAACUACGUG
RNAcentral lists this ribosomal RNA (495 nucleotides) under uncultured bacterium. RNAcentral's name for it is "partial 16S ribosomal RNA". It matches the Rfam family "Bacterial small subunit ribosomal RNA", at positions 28 to 507 of the family's 1533-position model. The record is from RNAcentral.